This 433-nucleotide ribosomal RNA is filed under the name uncultured bacterium. Its description in RNAcentral is "partial 16S ribosomal RNA". The stretch from base 13 to 343 matches the Rfam family "Bacterial small subunit ribosomal RNA", at positions 40 to 399 of the family's 1533-position model. The record is from RNAcentral.
AACGAACGCUGGCGGCAUGCCUAACACAUGCAAGUCGAACGAGACCUUCGGGUCUAGUGGCGCACGGGUGCGUAACGCGUGGGAACCUGCCCUUAGGUUCGGAAUAACUCCCCGAAAGGGGUGCUAAUACCGGAUAAUGUCUUCGGACCAAAGAUUUAUCGCCUUUGGAUGGGCCCGCGUUGGAUUAGCUAGUUGGUAGGGUAAAAGCCUACCAAGGCGACGAUCCAUAGCUGGUCUGAGAGGAUGAUCAGCCACACUGGGACUGAGACACGGCCCAGACUGGGAAGGGAGGCAGCAGCGGGGAAGAUGGGAGAGGGGGGCCAUGUGGGAGUCAGCAACGCUGAGGGAGGGAGGAAGGGAGUAGGGGGGGAAAGCGAGUUGAGCCGGGAGGAGAAUGAGAGGGGCGGGAGAAGAAGCUCCGGCUAACGAAGUG